CCUACGGGAGGCAGCAGUGGGGAAUAUUGGACAAUGGGGGGAACCCUGAUCCAGCCAUGCCGCGUGUGUGAAGAAGGCCCUCGGGUUGUAAAGCACUUUCAGUGAGGAAGAACGCCUGGUGGUUAAUACCCAUCAGGAAAGACAUCACUCACAGAAGAAGCACCGGCUAACUCCGUGCCAGCAGCCGCGGUAAUACGGAGGGUGCGAGCGUUAAUCGGAAUUACUGGGCGUAAAGCGCGCGUAGGUGGCUUGAUAAGCCGGUUGUGAAAGCCCCGGGCUGAACCUGGGAACGGCAUCCGGAACUGUCAAGCUAGAGUGCAGGAGAGGAAGGUAGAAUUCCCGGUGUAGCGGUGAAAUGCGUAGAGAUCGGGAGGAAUACCAGUGGCGAAGGCGGCCUUCUGGACUGACACUGACACUGAGGUGCGAAAGCGUGGGUAGCAAACAGGAUUAGAUACCCUAGUAGUC
Molecule: ribosomal RNA, 465 nt
Filed under: Vreelandella stevensii
Lineage: Bacteria; Pseudomonadati; Pseudomonadota; Gammaproteobacteria; Oceanospirillales; Halomonadaceae
Description: partial 16S ribosomal RNA
Rfam family: Bacterial small subunit ribosomal RNA
Source: RNAcentral